GUGGUCCAAUAGUUGAGACAGACAGGAGCGACCUGUUCUAAACCCAUGUUGCCCUGGGUUGUGUAACUGAUGGGUUUCUAGAUGCGUGGUGAUCUUGCUUCUUAGGACCCUUUCAAAGAUUUUUAUGAUAUGGGAUGUUAGUGCUAUUGGUCUGUAGUUCUUUGCUGUUGCUUUACUGCCCCCUUUGUGGAGUGGGGCUAUGUCUGUUGUUUUUAGUAACUGUGGGACGACCCCCGUGUCCAUGCUCCCUCUCCAUAGGAUGGAAAAGUUGUAAAUUGUUUACCACUUUGAUAAACUCUUCAGAAUUAGAGAGAAAUUGUUACCUGUGACCAGUUACACAAAUUUGAUCAUCACUUUUGGGGUAAAUGCCAAGUUGACAAUAUUUUUAUUUUCAGCCACCAUACCUUCCGUACUGCAGCACAGUAUGUAAAGGAAGACAAACUGCCCAUUGACCCAUGAACAGCACUGCAGUUGAUGACCUCCUGUACCCAAACCCAAGUGAUCCCAAGACAAACACUUCAGUCUACUGCCUCCUGUACCUGAACCCAAGUGAUCCCAAGACCAACACCUCAGUCUACUACCUUCUGUGCUUCAAUACAGGCUUGCUAUGCCACUGCUUUAAGUUAUGCACUCGACUAAUCUGAGACUGGAUCCCAGAGAGAAGUAAAGUUGGAUCCCAUUAAUCUCAGCACCGUUAUAUUGUAAAAAAAAAAUGCAAGAGGCAGGACAAGGCACGUUUUCUCACAUUCAGUGGUCAUCUAAACGAAAAAGUAGUAACAGCCAUAUUAUCAAGCAGUACCGAAGAUCUGGAAACAGUUGUUGUGCACUUUAUAGGACUGUUGGUUUACCAUGGGUGUAGGACAGUCUGGUAGCCUAAAAACAAUUAGGCUGUGGUGUACACCAAAGAUUUUGUGGUGCACCUGUCUGGCUAUGCUUAUGCACAUUUACUAACCCUCGAGGAGUACCUGUUGUGUAAUUUUAAGCAAAAUUUAGAAUUCACCUAUGUCUUAAUUGUAAGAACAACUCAAGUUUACUUUUGAGAAUUUUUUUUUUCUUAAAACUUGUCAUUGGUGGCCUGGUGGUUAACGCUCUCGCUUCACACGGUGAGGGUCCGGGUUCGAUUCCCAGCCAGAGUAGAAACAUUGGACGUGUUUCUUUCCACCUGUUGUCUAUGUUCCCCAUCAGUAAAAUGGGUACCUGGGUGUUAGUCAACUGGUGUGGGUCGCAUCCUGGGACACUGACCUAAGGAGGCCUGGUCACAGACCGGGCCGCGGGGGCGUUGACCCCCGGAACUCUCUCCAGGUAUCUCCAGGUUGUCAUGGUGUGACUUGUCUGUUAGAUGAAUUAACUUUAAUGAAGAUGUAAAUACCCAGUAUGUAAAAGUGAAGCUUAAACCUAUAAAAGAUAUCUAUUAUUUAAAUUUUAGUUAUUUAUUGUAAGCAAUGUGUAUUUUUUUUUUUACACGUCUGUAGUUAUAUAAAUGAACUAAUAAAUAAGUUAACCAUGUCAGUUAUUUUUUUAGAAACCUUUCUUUUUUUACCUCAUGAAAAUUCCACUUGACCUAUAGCAUUAUAUUUUUAGCAAUAAAAAUCAAUUUUAUUAGUUUAGGGGUGUGUCAGCAUAUUGGUAUCUGGUAUCUACAAAAAUUUUGGUAUCGUCCCAUCCCUAAUAUUAAAAUCGCACCACAGGUCCUCCUUGAACAUCGUAAUAUACUGUUUGAGGCGUUAAUCAUAAUUUUCAUCGUGUUUAAUGCUACUUAACUCUAUUACCGGGUGUGGAAUAUUUUCUUGUUCAUUAAAAACGGUGGCAUUUGAGUGUGCACACUAACAGUGGAUAGUUUGAUAUGAAUUGCUCUGUAAAUGAUUGGCUACUGUUUUAAUUUUCUUGAAUACAGCCUUUUUUUUUUUAAUAUGGGUUAGACUUUUCAAAAUGUGGGAUGAAAUACUCGUUAUUUUUAGAGGCAUUUGUUAAACUAGUUUUGCCAAAUUGCAUUUUUAUUUCUAAAAGAUCAUAACACAGGGUUGGGACAAUGAAUACAAUGCAAUGUAAAUGUUAGGGAAAAAUAUCCUGCUAAUACACUUGAUGCAUAAAAUUUUAUGCCAAUAAAUUUUAAACAUUAGAAUAUUUAAAAUUUUGAGUUCAAUAGUAAUGAAAUUUACUUAAUCUACAAUAUUUGCAGUGUGUUUUAAAAGGCACUGCUUCACAAUUAUGCAAUAUCUCCAACUAGAAAGUCUCUAAAGAUUAAUACCUUAUUUUUUGUGCAGUUAUCAAGGUUCAUAGAACUGUUUGUACAGUGUGUGUAUACUGGCCUAGUGUGUUUGUGUACAUGUACGCUGAUGUUUGUAUUUAACUGUUAAUGUUGCCUACCUCUAUAAUGUUCAAGUUGACAUGAUUAGGUCUGGCAUCCUAUAUUACAAUUGAAUCUGUGUAUAUUACGAUCAAGCUCAUUCUGCUUUAUUACCCGUAAACUGUAAACAAAGUUUUCAAUGUCCUUCAUGACUAAUUUGGGUGUUCAGCUUGAACAUUUUCUUGUCCUGGACCUUCCCAUGUCAAACAGCCUGUCAGUGCCUCCCUUGGUUGUGUCCCAAUGUGUUUUAUAGUCCUAUUUUUUCCUUUAUAUGCAUUCCUCAAGUCAUGAGAUUGUUUAUAAAAUCUUUCCUUAUAGAUCUCACCUCUGUUGUGGUAUCAAUCUAGUGACCCAACACUGAACUUGUUCCACUGUGGUACCUCUCUAAAGCACCAUACUCAUAUUUACUACAAGCAUAUUUCACUCUCGCCAUCCUCAAAUUGAAGCUUAGUCUUGCUGCUCGUUUUCACUUUCAUCUUAAUUUUGUAAUGUUCUGGCCCAUCCCCUUUGAAUAGCAUUUGCCUUAAUACCAGAGUAUUUUGAGUUAUGAUUGUCCCCUUUUAUUUUAUAUUUCCAGCAUUUUAAGAUUCGACUCUCUAAACCUGUCCUUGCAAAUCUUGUCCAUAAUUUAAAGCGCUUGACCUUCUAGUCAAUUCCUUUUCUUUCUUGAGCUUUAUUUUAUGAAUCUGAGGAAGGAUGAACUCCAUGUGAGUGUUACCACCAUAAUUCUGACCUCGUGCAAGUUUGUGUGCAUCAUAUUGGAGUUUUUGCUGAGGUCUCUGAAGACUAUUCUUGUAUUAAUUCCAUUGAUAUUAUACUGUUUGUGGGUCUCUAGUAAUAGGUUAAUUGUUGUUGUUUUUUUUUCAUGCCUUGUCAACCAGUUUGGUACUAUUUUUCACCUCCCUAUUGUGGUCACAUUACACUUUUGAGGGUUGAAUGACCUUAGGUGGACAUUUCAUUAUACUGUACUUGCAAUCUGUCCAUGUCACUCAGUGUUGGCAGUCAUCCUCUGAAUGUUUUCUUUGCAUUAGCUUUACAUCAUAUAUACUGUAAGGAUAGACAUGACGUAAUCAAUUUAUCGUAGCCUUAUAGGCCGGUUUUCAGUCUGAUGGAGUACCCAAUCUUAUCUUAACCAAAUUUCUUUGUCCAUAAAUUUGUUGCCUGAGGCAUCUGAAGUAAGUGCUUCAUGAACAUGUCAACUUUUACCUGUGAGACACCAUACCAAACUCAAGGAAUUAGGGGAUAAGUGUGAGUAGAAUACACUACCCAUCCUUCCUCUUAUCAAUUUGUAAUUAACUAUUUGUCAUUGAAAGAGUAAUGGCAUGCUCUUCCUGUCCUGUUUUUUAAUCUUUCAGUGGUUGUGUAUACUAAGCUUCUUCCAGUUUACUACUAAAAUUUAAACAGUAUGUACUCUAUUAGAUGUGUUUGCCAGAAUUGAGCUUUAUCAGUCAACCUACUGUAUCAGUGUGUGCUGUGCAUGUGUACAGUAUUUACAAAUUGUAUGUAUUUGCUUUGGCAUAUGCGUACACGUAGACAGCCAUGAAUCUGUUGCCGAGGGAUUCAACAUCGUACUUGGAGAUUUGCCAUAUGGGUGAAAGAGGGAAGGGGUCAGCACUGUUAUUAAUGCUUUGUUUAUCCUGAUACAGGUUAAAUCAAGUAAUAACAGAUAGUACAUCAAAUGACAUUUGAAAUUCCCAGUCUGGCUCAAACUGCUGCCAAACUUCUCCAGUCCUCUCCAGCCACUAACUUGAAAAUUUGCAUAUUAACCCGUAAACGGUCCAAACGUGUGUGUGUGUAUAUAUAUAACGUUUUUACCGCUAGUGCCCCAAACAUAUAUAUAAAAGUUUUAUUUGUCAUACAUUCAACAUUGCCACGAUAAGCCUGAGUCGCCUAGACAUGAGAGAAUGGGUGUGCGCACUCACUGUGUGCCACAUUAAAAUAAUUGAGGAUGCCUGGGUACCAUAUGCUCUUUUCCUAUUAAAAAAAAAAACUUUUUCUCAAAAUUUGGGGCACUACGCGAGAGAACGUAUAUAUGCGUUUGGACCGUUUACGGGUUAAUGGAAGUACACUCGGGGAUACAUAGCAUUUGGUGAUACACCAAAAUGUAUUUCUUUUCUAAAGAAAAGUCCAAUCUAUUGGGAGUUAUCCCUUCUAAGGAGGUGCCUUGAUUGAAGUAGAUACAUACUGGUAUUUUUCCCAUCCUUGGAUUAAACUUGAUUUCUCAUUCUCAGGAGUAUGACCCUUAUGGAUUUUGCAUCCCUUGUCUUCAACCCUCAAACUGUCCAAACGUAGAUUUACGUUCACUCGCAUUGUGCUCCGAACGUAGAUCUACUUUUUUUUUUUU
This is a non-coding RNA of Cherax quadricarinatus, 4691 nucleotides long. NCBI's taxonomy places the organism in Eukaryota, Metazoa, Arthropoda, Malacostraca, Decapoda, Parastacidae. The record is from RefSeq and is a predicted model, not a curated record.